Molecule: microRNA precursor, 275 nt
Filed under: Oryza sativa Japonica Group (Japanese rice)
Lineage: Eukaryota; Viridiplantae; Streptophyta; Magnoliopsida; Poales; Poaceae
Description: MIR821 microRNA precursor family
Rfam family: MIR821 microRNA precursor family
Source: Rfam by way of RNAcentral
GAUAUCAACUGAAAAAGUCAUCAACAACAAAGUUGAAUAACUCAUCAAGAUCUAAAACUUUUAUUUUGGUCAUUUCUUCAUACGACAAAGUGAUAGUAACAUUGUUCACAAAAUUGACAUAUCUCUUAUCUGGUUUUAUAAACUAUAACACAUAUAUGUAAAAUUUUUGAAUAAUAUUACUAACAUUUCGUCAGAUGAAGAAAUAACAAAAAUAAAAGUUUUAGAUCUUGAUGAGUUAUUCAACUUUGUUGUUGAUGACUUUUUCAAUUGAAAUC